RNAcentral lists this small RNA (631 nucleotides) under Pongo abelii (Sumatran orangutan). Its description in RNAcentral is "retained intron". The record is from RNAcentral. Lineage: Eukaryota; Metazoa; Chordata; Mammalia; Primates; Hominidae.
UGGGUCCGUGAACUUCCCGGAGGCGCAAUGAGCUGCGUUAACCUGCCCACCGUGCUGCCCAGCUCCCCCAGCAAGACCCGGGGGCAGAUCCAGGUGCGGGGACCAGCCCUGCGCGUGGCUGGGGAUGAGGGGGUCGUGGUGGUAGCCUGUGCCCAGGCAUCCGCGCAGGGCGGGCCCUCAAAUGACCUCACCUUCUCUCCUAGGUGAUUCUCGGGCCGAUGUUCUCAGGAAAAAGCACGGAGUUGAUGAGACGCGUCCGUCGCUUCCAGAUUGCUCAGUACAAGUGCCUGGUGAUCAAGUACGCCAAAGACACUCGCUACAGCAGCAGCUUCUGCACACAUGACCGGAACACCAUGGAGGCGCUGCCCGCCUGCCUGCUCCGAGACGUGGCCCAGGAGGCCCUGGGCGUGACUGUCAUAGGCAUCGAUGAGGGGCAGUUUUUCCCUGACAUCGUGGAGUUCUGCGAGGCCAUGGCCAACGCCGGGAAGACCGUAAUUGUGGCUGCACUGGAUGGGACCUUCCAGAGGAAGCCAUUUGGGGCCAUCCUGAACCUGGUGCCGCUGGCUGAGAGCGUGGUGAAGCUGACCGCGGUGUGCAUGGAGUGCUUCCGGGAAGCCGCCUACACCAAGAG